GCUUGUAAAGCCAUAUCACCCUGCAACUCACAACUGGCAACCCACUGAAGCUAAGCGGGUGUGAGCCUGGUCAGUACCUGGAUGGGAGACCUCCUGGGAAAAACUAAGGUUGAUGCUGGAA
Non-coding RNA from Lepisosteus oculatus (spotted gar), 121 nucleotides. Lineage: Eukaryota; Metazoa; Chordata; Actinopteri; Semionotiformes; Lepisosteidae. The record is from Rfam.